Molecule: transfer RNA, 73 nt
Filed under: Vicugna pacos (alpaca)
Lineage: Eukaryota; Metazoa; Chordata; Mammalia; Artiodactyla; Camelidae
Description: tRNA-Ala (AGC) (tRNA-Ala-AGC-370-1)
Rfam family: tRNA
About the family: Transfer RNA (tRNA) molecules are approximately 80 nucleotides in length. Their secondary structure includes four short double-helical elements and three loops (D, anti-codon, and T loops).
Source: RNAcentral
GGAGGGUGUAGCUCAGUGGUAGAGUGCAUGCCUAGCAUGCAUGAGGUCCUGGGUUCAACCCCCAGUACCUCCA